Molecule: long non-coding RNA, 503 nt
Filed under: Fukomys damarensis (Damara mole-rat)
Lineage: Eukaryota; Metazoa; Chordata; Mammalia; Rodentia; Bathyergidae
Description: lncRNA (ENSFDAG00000031435.1)
Source: RNAcentral
CUCCAGUGCUCCCCCAACAAACCUUCAUUAGUAACAUGGUCUGAGAACAGCACUGGGACUUGGAAAACAUAAUGGGAUUCAACUUGCCCUGCGAGCCCUCACACCACGGCUUCAAGCUUCGCCGUCCUCCUUUUCCGAAGUGCUCAUGGAGGCAUCUUUCAUUGCAGAUAAGUCUGGAUUCUGCCCUGGUCUUUGUUAAUGAAAUCAACCCCCAGGAAUAUAAAACCGAUGCAGCUCAAUGUGAUCUGACAGUUUGUGUCCAGAAACAUAAGCCAGCAACCAUGUGAAGAGCUGUGAGGGAUUGGACCCAUUCUGUACAUCUGUUCAGAUUCCCGGCACACGUUUUUCCCCCAGUACCGCCCAAGAUCCAAGCUAUCUUUCAGUUUGACAGCUUCACUGACAACCUCCGCAUCUUCAAAGAAGACACAGCUACAUGGCGUAUGAUAAUAUAGAACAGAAUUUACUCAAAAGCACGGUCCAAUGAUAGAAAGACUUUCGAACCA